CCUCUCAUCCUUGGGGUCAUCCAACUGAUUCUGCAGAUGCUGAUCGUCCAUCAUUUCAACCAUCCUACAGGUUGAAACGUCCUAUGGAUCCUCGCCACGGUAUGCUUCUUCACCAGGCUGGUGGUCAGACUCCAUGUUUUCCAUCUCAAUGCCGUCAUCGACUUCAAUGCCAUCCUCCCCGUCAGAAUUCAACCGUGAAUAACCAGGCACAAAUCCCCGCAUGAGCAAGUGCAUCUCGACAUCCUCUGGCUCGUACAGCUUGCUGUUCCGACAUCUCACAUAGGGACAACACAUCUUAUCACCCCCUUUUCUAUGCAUAUCUUCCACGCCGGCAUCGACAAAAGUCUUCAGCCGCUCUAUCCACUCAAGAAAUAACCUGUCCUCGUACAUCCAAGCACGGCCCAUCGAGCUACAACACAAUUAAAAAAAAUAAACGAAUCAGUU
This 444-nucleotide long non-coding RNA is filed under the name Brachypodium distachyon (stiff brome). RNAcentral's name for it is "long non-coding RNA (BDIS_LNC005446)". The record is from RNAcentral. Lineage: Eukaryota; Viridiplantae; Streptophyta; Magnoliopsida; Poales; Poaceae.